Miniopterus natalensis is the source of this 989-nucleotide long non-coding RNA. RefSeq lists it as uncharacterized. The record is from RefSeq and is a predicted model, not a curated record. NCBI's taxonomy places the organism in Eukaryota, Metazoa, Chordata, Mammalia, Chiroptera, Miniopteridae.
CAGGGCUCGACACCAGCCCUCGCCUCCGGGGUCUUUCGGGGCCUGCAGAGAAGCGAGACGGCAUCGGACAGGGCCGGGGCCGCGCAUCUGAGACAGGAAAAGAAACUGAAAAGCCUUCGCUUGAGUGCCCCUGUGGUUUGACUUGAGGCAACAGCUUUUACCUCUCUCCGCCUCAGUUUCUUCGUCUGUUAUGUGAAGAAUCUUAACAGCAAAUUUCGUUUUUUUCAGUCAUGGACUCCUUUAAGAAUCUGGUGAGAAAUAAUAGACUCUUUCGAAGAGAAAUGCACUAAAUUUUGCGAAAAGUUUUAGGCAGUUCACCUAAAUAGGUGAUUUUUAAGGAUUUUCCCAUUUUUAUGAUUCUGAUGGUUGCUCCGAUGGCGGGCAGGGAAGGGGUGAGCUGCGCGACAGCUGCCAGCCCCUCCGUCACUGGGACUGAUUCUGCGGAUCUAGCCGUGCGUCUCUCCUCACUCACCAUGCCCCAGCUCCACGUCUUCACUUCCCUGAGCUUUGUGGGAAAGAAUGGCUGUCCUCAGUAGAAUUGGCUAGAGUUGGUUCUGGCUCCUUCCGACUCUGAAUUUUACACUGCAAGUCCUGGGUGAAAAAGUAUGAACUGUUUAAAGUCUCCAGAACACGCUGGUGAAUUGCAAAAAAAGGGUUAUCGACCAUUCACGCACUCAGAGCCCACUUCACCACACCCUGUCCAGCAGUGAGAUGAAGCACAGAGAGGUGAAGCCACUUGUUGAGCUGAGGGGCGACAGGGUCACAUCUCCAGUCCCUGCUUUUCCCAAGCACAAUGCCUUUGGCAAAGGAGAGCCAGAAGGAUAAGAAUUGCUUUGGGAGAUGAAUGCCAGCUUUGGCUGAAGGAAUAAGAACCUAAGAGGAGCUGAAGGAGUCGAAACCACAUAUAGGAGUACUUGAGCGGGACAAGCAUUUAGGCCGUGGUUAUAAGAGCCUGUGUGGCUGGACCUGCUCCCAUUCAUUUGGGGUGC